CCUGCAAUGUGCAUAACAAAAAAUGUUUUCAUAUCAUGGAAUAAUAAAUUCUUAAAAGUAUACUAUAUUAAUUAGUCCAUAUUGAAAACUUACCACUGCAAAAAGAGUGAAUGCGCCACAAAGUCCAGCAGCCCAGAAUACAAAAGAGUGGAUCUGUUUUUCUUCUUCAGGAUCUGGAAAAUAGCUCCUCGUUGUCACAUUUGAUGAAAUUUGGCCAUAUUGUAUGAUUGAGGAGAAUUUUACAAGGGCCAGAGACCACUUUGCACAUUUCUUGAGAAGGCAAAUCUACGGUAUCAUUGACACACUUUGGUAGAAACAAAGAACACAAAAAUGGCUGCACAACAGCCCAGCAUUUAGGGAUAUGCUCCAAGCCUCUUAAAAUGUGCAACUUUUCCUGUAAAUUAAAAAAUACAAAAAUUUUAAUAUUAUCUGUAUUGGGUUUGCAAUGCCAUCAAUAAAUUCAAGGCAAAGAA
Molecule: long non-coding RNA, 473 nt
Organism: Nasonia vitripennis (jewel wasp)
Lineage: Eukaryota; Metazoa; Arthropoda; Insecta; Hymenoptera; Pteromalidae
Exons: 2
Source: RefSeq, a predicted model, not a curated record